UACGUAGGGGGCAAGCGUUGUCCGGAUUUAUUGGGCGUAAAGAGCGUGUAGGCGGCCAGGUAGGUCCGUUGUGAAAACUGGAGGCUUAACCUCCAGCUGUCGAUGGAAACCAUCUGGCUAGAGUCCGGAAGAGGAGAGUGGAAUUCCUGGUGUAGCGGUGAAAUGCGCAGAUAUCAGGAAGAACACCCGUGGCGAAGGCGGCUCUCUGGGACGGUACUGACGCUGAGGAGCGAAAGCGUGGGGAGCGAACAGG
RNAcentral lists this ribosomal RNA (253 nucleotides) under uncultured bacterium. RNAcentral's name for it is "partial 16S ribosomal RNA". It matches the Rfam family "Bacterial small subunit ribosomal RNA", at positions 524 to 776 of the family's 1533-position model. The record is from RNAcentral.